This 247-nucleotide long non-coding RNA is filed under the name Elaeis guineensis (African oil palm). RNAcentral's name for it is "long non-coding RNA (EGUI_LNC004739)". Lineage: Eukaryota; Viridiplantae; Streptophyta; Magnoliopsida; Arecales; Arecaceae. The record is from RNAcentral.
GGCCCUUUCACAUUCUCCCCCCUGCUCUCUCAUUCCCUCUCUCAUCCGUAGCCACUAUCACCAUCCCCACUGCCGCCAUCGACACCUCUCGCACUCUCUCAUUCCCUCCAUUUUCCUCUCUUACAUUCUCCCUUGGCUCUCUCACUCCCUCCCCCUACUCUCUCACUCCCUUUAUCACCAAUAGCCACUAUCACCAUCCCCACCAACAUCGAUGCCUUUGCUUUGCUACUCCUCUACAUAAUGUGCC